UGCAAGGUGAAACAAAGACACUUUUUGGGAAGCGUAAAAAUCACAUCAAUAGGCAGCUGAAAUAUGUUUAGACUACGGGAAAAGGGAUAUUUUAACUAUACUUAUUUAGACUUAGUGUAUCACAUAAAGUUGUAACUUGUAAAAUACAACUUUUACAAUCUUAAAAGCUCUUUCAAAGCAACCUUUGCUUUCCCUGCCUGACCUUUCAAACCCAUAUACCUCUGUCUAACCGAUUUUGUAUCAUUCUUAUUUGUCCUUUCGGCCUGAACACAUCUAAAUUUUCUGUGUAGUCUCAAGUUAUUUCUUUUUGUUCGGUUCAAUAAUCCCUACGAAUUAAUCAUGUGUUGCGGACCCUGUGGACCUUGCUGUGGACCCUGCUGUGGGCCAUGCGGACCGUGCUGUGGACCCUGCGGCGGAGGAUGUGGUCCCUGCUUUGGACCCAAUGUAUGCGGACCAUGCUACGCCUGUGGACCAUGUGGCGGCUGCUACUGUGGAUAUCCUUGCUGCUAGGCCAGAUGGUUCGGGAUCCCAUAGAACGGUUGACGGAAAUGCACGAAUUAAGUCAAAAACCUCUUGGAUCAUCUUAGGAACUGUCUGGCUAUUAGGACCAUUUAGUCAUCUAAUAUUCGUGAACCACAAAUAAAAAUAAUUUGAGACAA
This is a long non-coding RNA of Drosophila eugracilis, 659 nucleotides long. RefSeq lists it as uncharacterized. The transcript has 2 exons. Lineage: Eukaryota; Metazoa; Arthropoda; Insecta; Diptera; Drosophilidae. The record is from RefSeq and is a predicted model, not a curated record.